CCUACGGGGGGCUGCAGUCGAGAAUCUUCGGCAAUGGGCGCAAGCCUGACCGAGCGACGCCGCGUGCGGGAUGAAGGCCUUCGGGUUGUAAACCGCUGUCGAGGGGAAUGAAGUGCAGGUGGGUUCUCCCAUCUGUUUGACAGAUCCCUGGAGGAAGCAUGGGCUAAGUUCGUGCCAGCAGCCGCGGUAAGACGAACCAUGCAAACCAUUUUCGGAUUCACUGGGCUUGGAGCGUGCGUAGGCGAUCUUGGAAAGCCCUCAGCCCAACUGAGGAAUUGCGCUUGAUACUGCAUGACUAGAGAAUGAUAGAGGUGGGUGGAACUGAUGGUGGAGCGGUGAAAUGCGUUGAUAUCAUCAGGAACACCAGUGGCGAAGGCGACCCACUGGGUCAGGGCUGACGCUGAGGUACGAAAGCUAGGGUAGCGAACGGGAUUAGAUACCCCAGUAGUC
RNAcentral lists this ribosomal RNA (450 nucleotides) under uncultured bacterium. RNAcentral's name for it is "partial 16S ribosomal RNA". It matches the Rfam family "Bacterial small subunit ribosomal RNA", at positions 338 to 795 of the family's 1533-position model. The record is from RNAcentral.